This 2648-nucleotide long non-coding RNA is filed under the name Zea mays. RNAcentral describes it as "long non-coding RNA (ZMAY_LNC003913)". The record is from RNAcentral. Lineage: Eukaryota; Viridiplantae; Streptophyta; Magnoliopsida; Poales; Poaceae.
AACGGGUGCGCGCCCCGCGCGCGUUGUAGAAAAAUGUAAUGUAAGUGAUAAUAAUGUUAUAUCAUUUGUAAAAUGUAGAUAUACAUUCUGAAAUAUAAGUGACAAUUAAGAAAGUUGGUCAUGUAUAUCACAGAAGGUUGAACAGUAGUUAUUAAACAGAGUUAGGUAAUUUAUGACGGUGGUUAUUUUUGCCUGUUUCAACAUCUAAAACAAAGUUGUUAUGUUUACACAAAUUGUCUUCAAAAGGUUGAACAUGCAUACUAACAUAUAAAAUAAACACUUUAGAACUUCAAAGGCUGCUGAUGGUAGAAGGUAGCAUUCAGUCUUGGGAGGGUUUCUUAGGAGUUUCUUUUUGGAUGCGCACGGGUCCUUGCUUGAUCCUGUUCAUGAAUUAUAAAAAAGUGAGUUGUUUUAUUUACUUUACUAAUGGACUGAUUAGCUAGACAACUCGUUUUAGGAAUUUGGUAUUUAAGCACGGGGGUUAUUUAGAUGGUUAGAUGCUAUGGAAAAGUUGUACAUAAAAAGAAUAUGACAUAUGCACAUUAACAGAAACUUGAAUCCUUAGUAAGGAACAAAGAGACGUGCAAAAAAAAUAAUAACAUCAUCAGAAGAACAAAAUGUCUGCUUAAAUAAUAAUAAGCACAACAACAGUGCGAUCUCUUAACUACAUGUAAGAAUGUUUCUUGUUAAGCAUUGAACAUAGCACAGAAUGGAUAUGAAUACAUCACACGAUUUAUAUAAGAAAGUAAAAAGAUCGUGUGUGUGGUGGGGGAUAUCAGGUUGAGUGCUGAUGAAUGGGGAGUGGAAGAUCUUAUUUUUGUUCAUGCUUUCAUGAUUUGUGUACCUUUCGGGUACGUAGGAUAACAGAUAUUUUUUUUUCUUGUAGCUAUUCUGAGUAUAUUGCUCCCAGGCGAAAGAGAAUAUGCAACAUCCCCCACUUUUAAAACGGUUUGCUGUCAGGUUGGUUUGUGCAUCACAUUUGAAAUCCGUUUCUAUGAUUUGAUACAGAACUAUUGGUGUGUAUAUGUAACUAUUUAUUGAAUUGUUUGGUUUGGUUCUGAGCUAUACUCAGAUGCUUAUAAGAACUUUUAUAUUACAUACAACUUUUGUUUUAAAAAAGAAAGGAGUAGAAUCUGUUGAGCAGUGCAGUUUGUGUAUGUGAUUUCAACUACUUAUCUAUCUUAUGUUUUAGAAAGUGUUAUGUAAAAGAAAUGCUCGAACAAUAUGUUAGUGAAGCAGUCAUAAUAUUUAAACGCAUUUAAUAUGUUACGUAUCUUAUUAAGUAGAUUCUCUGCGUCUAAUUUAGUUAUAUAUCAAUGGGGGAUAAGCCAAGACCUAAAGUUGUGCGAUACAUUGUUUGUUGAUGUGAUGAUAUUUAUUCAUUACUGCGUUCUAGGUGGCAAAGCAGCUGAUGGAUUUGGGAGAUUAGAUGUAUUGAACAAACGUACCUGAUGUGCUCGGAGUUAAAAUCCCUGGGAAUUAGAGAUGUUUUCGCUCCACACGGAGGGCUGACCUGUAGAAUCAAUUAGAAAUUGGGCUAAUAAACGACCGGUAAACUAUGUAAAUAAAUAUGCGAAGGGAAAAAUAUAGUGUGUUAACAGACGACCAGCAAAUCGUGUACAAUUAAGAAGAUGUAGAUCGGAUUCCCUAUAUUCGUUCUUUCAAGUGAGAUUUUUUUUGGGAAAAAAAAGAAUGUGCAUCCAUAGAAUUAUGUACGUAGGGACAACAUGCGAAGUUUCAACUGUAUAAUUAUAAGGUAAAACAUGAACUUAGUUGAUAGUUCUUCUAUGUAUAAUAGAUACAUUUAAGGUUGAGAUACCUUUUUACCAAUAAUUGAUCAUGUAGAUACGGAUAUCAAAGUCCACAUACUCACACAUCCCAACCCCGAAAAGCUAAUCACACCAGAGACGGAGUGGGAGAAUAUACCUUUUCUUUAUAGUGAAAGUGGCAAGCAGCCAAGUUGUAGUACUUUUUGGCUAACCGAGUGUUUUGAAUUCCUGAACGCAUAUCGCACAGUUAAAACACCUUAGGCGCGAAGGACAAACUUACUUGAGCAAACAGGCUUUCAGCAGUAGUAGAGAGGGACUUAAAAACAUUGGUUAUGGGUGUAAACCAAAGGGAAUUAAAAAAAUGCAUGGUUGCACGCGACGCUCGACUGGAACAGUGGCUUUGCGAUGCUGCAGCCUGCAGGCCGUGUGCCAGGUGGCAGGGUGGGGCGCUGCCUGUGAGAUGUUGCCGCCGUGCCAGGAGAGGAAGGGCGGCGCUGCUGCCUCCUGGCGUUGGCCCACGCCGACGUUGAGGUGGGAUGUGGCUCCUGGCGGUGUCCAGCUCAGCGAGAAGAGGGAUUUGAGGGAACAGGGGGAUAAAGCUAGUGGUGCCUGGCGGCUUGCACAUCGACGGAAACUGAGAGCAAGAGGUUUCUGGCCGCGUUCUAUGGAACUCACAGAGAGAGAAGAGACUAUUGGACAACCGGCGAACAGAAAGAAUGGUACCUGCUUGGCCGUGGGCAAACGGGUGGGGUUCAGCGUGUCCGCCGUCGCGGACCGUGGAAGCCGUCGCCCCGGGAGAGAGAGAGAGAGAGGACGGGAGGAAGAUGCGUAUAUCCUCUUCUACCCCUUUCCGGGGCCAUCUGGAAACAUCAUGUCCUG